RNAcentral lists this long non-coding RNA (277 nucleotides) under Homo sapiens (human). Its description in RNAcentral is "HSALNT0134384". Lineage: Eukaryota; Metazoa; Chordata; Mammalia; Primates; Hominidae. The record is from RNAcentral.
CUCCUUAGUAGUUUUACAGCCUACAAGGAAAUACCUGUUGUACUUUGAUUGCCUUGAAAAUAGUCCUUGCCAAGCAGUAUGUGUGGUUUUUUUCUAUCAUCUGGUCACAUUUGACUUCAGUGGGGAAGAAACAGAAGAUGGCAACAUCCCAACCCUCUAAAUAAAACAACAAACAGGUGGUUGCUGUAUAUGGAACUUUAUCUGAUUUGCUUUCUGUGGCCAGCAGUAAACUCGGCAUAAAAGCCACCAGUGUGUAUAAUGGGAAAGGUGGACUGAU